UGAGGCCAGUACAGAGACUUUGAUUGAGCGUGCUCCCUCACACAGUGGGCCUUUAAGGCCUAGGCCUCCCUCACACAGUAGGCCUAUGAAGCUAAGGGAGCCUGAUUAGACCAGUACAGAGGACUUAGACUGGCCACGGCCUAACCAGAUCAUCCACCCCCUCCUCACAGCUUCGGCCCGUUUUCCCAGGAUCGUCCUUUGCCCCAACUCAUCGCGUGAAGGCCGGGACCACACCAACCGAGGUGAAACAGACUAAAUUGGGAAGGUGAAAAGAAAACCCAGAAGGUGACAAUGGCAAACCAUUUUUAUACUACUACCAAGCAAAAGAACAGACGGAGCCAAUGAAUGUAUUUCUACUGAGCAGAUCAAAAGGAUGUUAAAGAGCAAAGCAAAGGAAGAUGGAUCUUUUUUUUUUUUUUGUGAAGCCUUGACAAAGCUUUCAGCUACACAGUCCCCAAUGUUUAAUUUUAUAGCACUGUUUAUACUUUCUGGAAUGAAAUUCCUGCUGUUUACAUUGUACAGGGGCUUUUCUUUGGUAAAGGUAGAUCUUUAUCUACCAUCCAGUUCCUAAGAAGAGUCUGUUUUGAUAUAUUAAGCUGGAUGUUUUCUCUGUAUAAACAGAAUGCUGGUUCUUUCUGCUUUUAAAAAAUGAAAUUAACAAUAAAAACAUAAAACUGGCACAAA
Molecule: long non-coding RNA, 684 nt
Organism: Pantherophis guttatus
Lineage: Eukaryota; Metazoa; Chordata; Lepidosauria; Squamata; Colubridae
Source: RefSeq, a predicted model, not a curated record